Mandrillus leucophaeus (drill) is the source of this 702-nucleotide long non-coding RNA. RefSeq lists it as uncharacterized. NCBI's taxonomy places the organism in Eukaryota, Metazoa, Chordata, Mammalia, Primates, Cercopithecidae. The transcript has 2 exons. The record is from RefSeq and is a predicted model, not a curated record.
AGAUGGUUAAAAGAGUUCCGGGUCAGGCGCGGUGGCUCAUGCCUGUAAUCCCAGCACUUUGGGAGGCCAAGGUGGGUGGAUCACCUGAGGUCAGGAGUUCAAGACCAGCCUGGCCAACAUGGUGAAACCCUGUCUCUACUAAAAAUGCAAAAAUUAGCUGGGCAUGGCAGCACAUGCCUGUAAUCCCAGCUACAUGGGAGGCUGAGGUGGGAGAAUUGCUUGAACCCAGGAGGUGAAGGCAGAGGCUGCAGUGAGCCAAGAUUGUGCCACUGCACUCCAGCCUGGGCAACAGAGCAAGACCCCAUCUCAAAAAUAAAUAUAUAAAAUAAAAAGCUAUUUCUAGUUUAUUUCACUAUAAAGUUUUGCUUUAUUAAAAAGCUAAUAAACAGCUAUUAAUCACAGUGUGUUAGUAUUUGUUACAUUUUUGUAUUUCACUAUCUUUAUUACAUUUUUGUAUUUCACUAUCUUUAUAAUAUGGUAACCAGGGUACUGGGGGAACUUUAAAAUUUCAUCUCAAAAAUAAUUUUUAAAAAGCCUGAGAUAUGAUAUAGCAUAAAAGAUUGGAUGAAAAUAUAUUUCACCGUAAGCUGAAUUGCUCAUUUAAAAAUUUUAGCUGUCAUAUAUGAGACUCGAAUUAGACACUGUUGAAUCCUGUACAGCCUUACUCAUAAAUAAAGUACUUACUGAAUUUCCACCGUUCAA